Cryptotermes secundus is the source of this 4792-nucleotide long non-coding RNA. RefSeq lists it as uncharacterized. The record is from RefSeq and is a predicted model, not a curated record. Lineage: Eukaryota; Metazoa; Arthropoda; Insecta; Blattodea; Kalotermitidae. The transcript is spliced from 3 exons.
UGCACUGAGAACGAGUGAGGGUAGAACGACGGGGAUAUACAAAAUUUUGAAUCCUCGGCAUCGUUCACAAUUUAUAAAAGUAUAUGUGACAACAACAGUUAAAUCAUAAGAGCACUUCCAUACAAACUGUGGGCUUUAUCUCCCGAAUCAAAGGCCUGAAAAAAAUUAACAGAUUUUUCUUUUUAAAGGUGUUUCCAGAAAACUUCCAUGAACUGGUUUCGUUUGGAAAUAAACUAUUUUUUUUCUAUCUAUUCAAGUCCUCAAAUAAGAUUCACAGACGAGAAGCUGAUGUGUUCCGUGCAAUUCCAUUCACUCUUGAUCUUCCUGCACCUUCCAAUACCUAUGUGGCAGUCAUAAACUUGCUACGCGGAGGAAACAUCAGUCCAGUCAAUGUAGGAACCAGAAGUUUUGUGUGGUGAUUGAUCCUUCAAAAUAAUGCAACUAUUAUUAAUCCUUCAUAGGAAAAUGUACAAUAUCGUGGUAAAAGGAAAGAUGUGGUUCCGAUUCUGGAAAAGUACUGGUGGACAAUUUAUAAUUUGACAUCAUGUAGCAUAAUUAUAUGCCAGGAUUUUAAGUUGUAACUUUAUUCCCAUGUUGUUGGAAAAUUAAAACAAUGUUACGCAACAAUAUUUCAGGAUUUUUUUUUCAAAUAUGUGGCACUCAGAAAUUCAUAAUACGUGGAUUUGACAGCCCAAAGAAAUUUUCUGAAGCCCAAGAUAGAUUAUUUUGGAAAUAAUUUCUCAACCUAGGAUCAAAUCACUUUUAUAUCUCAAUUUUACACUAUAUACACUAAAGUAGAUAUGACUCUAAUCUGUACACUUACAAGUGACUGUAUACAACUACCAUACAGUUUGGUACAAGCAACCAGAACAUAAAAUUACUAACAACUGCCCAUCAUCCAUAGAUAACUUCGAAGAACAUACAGUAACCUCAUUAGCACAUCAUAAGUUUACCACUAGUAACUGAAAACUAAAAAUGGGGUAAAUAUGUCACUUGUAAUUAAACUCUUUCUUGUUUACAUUCACAAUUAGCAUAUUUUGUAAUAUACUGGGUUAUUCACUUUUAUGGAACAUAAAAUAACCAUUAUUUUACAGGUGGCAUGUGCACUUUUUGAAUUACUUUCAUCAUUAUAUAAACUCAAAGUAUUACCCCUAUUUGAAUAGCUGCUACAUAUAUCAUGCCAAAAGCCUACCUGACAGCUACUGUUACAGUUUAAUGAUGGCAAAAUUUUGGGGAAACUCAGAUUUUAAGGUCGUAUCAGUCUUUCGGCUACUCUUACAUAUCUUAACAUUGACGUACUAUAGAAAGAAUAUUUCAGUUUCUCAUAAAAAACUUGACACAAACACUGACUGUGAAGUUUCAUUUCACUCUGAACUGAACCUAAGUCACUGUCUACAAAUAUGUCAGUAGUGCAACACCACCAGCAACACUCACUAAAAUGACAAAUAUUCUUCAUUCAUUUAUGUUUGUGGUUGUUAAUUACAUAAUGAUGCUUAGGUUUAAAAAAACAAUAACAACAGGAACAGUGAAUUAAUUGUGGAAAAAAUGGCAGGAUGAAAGCACAUAAUGAAAUUUCAGUUGAUAAGUGAGCCACUGCCAGUAACUAUAUUUGCAACAAACCUGGCAUCAACCUAUACAGCAGGGUGAAGGAAUUGUUUUAAUGCAGAAGAAUCCAUACAACAGAAUGAGAAACCACAUACAAUGGAAGGACAAUAGCUUUUUUAUAGUUCAUUUUACAGUGUUAUCAUACUUAAAUUAUAUAGCAUCAAAUGAUAUGAUGAUUGGUGAACAAAGAACGGGAAAGGAUUUGGAAGGGAGCAGUCAUGGCCUAAACUAGGUGUUAAUCUAUAAUUUGCCUGGAGGGACUGGAAAAAACUAAGGAAAUCCACAGUAAGGACAGCCAUUGUCCUGGCCAAGAUUUGAACCACACAAAUCCUAUAUACACACCUAGAUCAUUGACAUAACCGCUUGGUGGCUGUGAUGAUAAAAAUGAUGGUUAGCGCACACAACCUAAUACUUAAUACUGAAUCAGAAUCACUGUGGGGACUUGGUACUCUCCACUUUAACAAAAUAUGCUUCAGCAUAUUCAUUAUCAAAGACUUAGAGAAAUACUGCCACCUGUUUUUGAAUAGGAACAAAACCAACUAACAGGACUGAGAAUCAAAUGUCUUACCCUAAGAACAUGAAUGCUCCAGUUGUAAUAAUGUUGCUUGCACAUUUCUUAAGUGUCUUGUAACAUAGCAUAUCCUAAAAUAUUCACAACUCACAUGCAAAUAGGAAAGCUCUGAAGAGAGCAGCCUUAUCAUUUAUGGUUGUGGCCUUAGAAUACACACUGAUAACAUUCAAGGACAUGUAAUACAAGGGUUAAAUAACUAGUGUACCUUUUGACCACAUCAUUUAUCAUUUACAUACAAUGCAUUUUUAUGUUCGUAUGUUAAUAACAUAAACACUGAAACAUUCAGAUACAGUAAUAACACUUGUUUUGUUAUUCCACUGGCCUACAAUUUGCAAAGAGAAUUUACUUAUUUUCAGCUAAAUCCUUUAGUGUUCAUAAAAUAUUAAAGAAACUGAAGCCUGUAAUUAUUUAAACGUUUAUACUGAAGCAGAAGAAGUGAUGUAACAUUUCAAAGUGAAGUCAUCAAGAAUAUUCAAAGCUAUGUAUAUCAAUGCCACCAUUACUUUCAUUAAGCCUCAUGGUUUAAGCCAUGCUCUUUUGAUUAAUUUGUAACAUACAUGUAUCCUGCUAUAAAAGUUGUUUCAACUAUCUACUCCUUUAUGCUUGUUCACCACCUUGUCAAGAUCAACAUCACUAAUAUCAAAUUCAUUUUCCUGAGUUAUUUCAAUGUUAUCUUUCCUUCUUCCUGAUCCCCUAAGUAGUCGCCUUCCAACAGGUUUCUCCACCAAAAUUUUGUAUUCAUAAAUGAUGAGUGAGAGGAAUAAAAAAACACAUUAACUCUAAAAUAACAAAAUGAUGCAAUUCUUUAUUGGAGUCCAUCGUAACACAACAACAUAACAGUCAAGGUUAAUAUUACCUUAGCCACAUGUUUCAGCUUUUAAUGUCAUCAUUGGGGGGGGGAAGUGGUUAGCACUGCCUCCCUGGGCCUUUCUGUCAUACCCUUAACAAUAAGCUGCAAAAAUGGUCCCAUUAGUUUUGCUAUGUCUAUCCGUCUGUCUCUCUGCAGAUCCCUCAGAAACAACUGAAUGGAUUUCUUUUUUUGAGCUUGACACUGCAUACUACUACUAAAAUUUGUCAACACACUCCACUUUGGUAAAAAUUGGACAACAGUAAUGGAUACUAUAAGAUCUACAUGCAUCUAAAUCAUACCCUGCUAAAUAUUUAUUUCAGCAGAAAAUAGUCUGAACAAAAGUUGCAGAGAAAAAUAAAACACAUUUUAUAUCCAACAUACCUUUUCCAUAAGUCUCAUAACUUGAGAAUGGUUGGACUGCGUUUAAUAAGUUUUUAUACACUAGGUCCUUCCACAAAUCUGUCAAACCAUUUCAAGUUUCAUAAUGAUCAGUGCAACAGAAGUGGUAUGUUACAUAAGAGCCUAUUAUGAAUUCGGGGGCCACACAGUUCGUCUAACGUAGUUUCUUACUAAACUAUUCAUCUAAUCUUGCAACACUUUUAUUCUACUGUAACUCAAGCAAAAUAAUAAUGAUAUGUCCAUGUACAAUAUCAAAUUUUCCCAAGAUUGAAACACUGAUUUCCUAUAUAGGAAGCCAGAACAAUGUCCAUUACAUCAAUUAUCUGAACAUAGCUCACCAGAAUGUACAUAUAUAUACUUUCAUAGUCUAUUGUGUUGCCUUUUGACUGAGAACAGUAACUAUUUGCCAACUGAUUUUUUGGUGCAAUAGCAACUAAAAGACACAAAAGGCUAUAACAGUGCAGAGAGUCAAUAAUAAAAUAUAUACAUUAUUAUUUUGUUUAUAAUGCUUUUUCUAUUAAUGAAUAAGACAGAGGCAAGGAUGAUAUAUAUGUAAUCCAACUUGAUAUAGUGCAUGGCCUUGGUAUACUUCAUUACUUACAAUUCACGAUUUCAGCCAUGACUUUGUGGAGUAAAAAGUACAGGGAGAAUUUUUACUCACUUGAAAAGUUCAUGGCUCUGUGCUUCACAGUGGCUGGUGCGCCACCUGCUUGCAUAUAAAUUUUGCCGAUGAAUCAGCUGAUAAAGUUUGGAACGAAGGGAAGUAAUUAACUUUUAGACCGCUUCAUGACAUUAUGUUUCACAUUGAACAGUGCCGUUCAUGCAUGGGAUUUGUUUACAAUUUGUCAGCAGCAGGGAGCAGUUAUCAGCUCCAUUAGCCAUUUGUUCUCAGUUUCAGCUAGUGAGCAGUGUGGUACAUCAUGGUGCGGUAUACUUUAGAGCAAUGUGUAUUUCUGUAUGACAGCUAUGCGAAAUAUGGAUCUGUUAGAAUGUAUCAACAAAAAUUUUGAGGUUAAUUUCAUGAUGAUAUAAUUCCCAGCAGACAAACAAUUCACAAUUUGGUGAAUAAACUUAGAACAACAGAGCUCUUAAUAGACAAGAACCAAAAAUAUAAGUGAAGUUACAUGACACAGGGUGAGACUUGAACAUACACCUAGAAAAUCACUGAAAUGUCUAGCUCAAGAGUCAAAGUGUCAAAGUCUAGUGCAAGAAUGGCAACACAACUGCUGAAGCCAUCCAGUGAAAGUUGGUGUCUGGUGUGCUCUAAGUGCAAUUAGGAUUUUUUACCUGUGUUUUUAAUGAAACAAUUAAUUGCAAAAAAUAUCUACAUGUAGAGAGGACAGCAUUUUCAAACACCUCCUGUGAUC